This 907-nucleotide ribosomal RNA is filed under the name uncultured Bacillota bacterium. RNAcentral's name for it is "bacterial SSU rRNA". It matches the Rfam family "Bacterial small subunit ribosomal RNA", at positions 1 to 917 of the family's 1533-position model. The record is from RNAcentral. Lineage: Bacteria; Bacillati; Bacillota.
UGGAUCCAGACUUUGAUCCUGGCUCAGGAUAAACGCUGGCGGCGCACAUAAGACAUGCAAGUCGAACGAACUUAACCAUUAGUUUACUAUUGGAGCGGUUAGUGGCGGACUGGUGAGUAACACGUAAGCAACCUGCCUAUCAGAGGGGAACAACAGUUAGAAAUGACUGCUAAUACCGCAUAUGCCUUGAGUAUUGCAUGAUACAAAAGGGAAAGGAGAAAUCCGCUGAUAGAUGGGCUUGCGUCUGAUUAGCUAGUUGGUGGGGUAAAGGCCUACCAAGGCGACGAUCAGUAGCCGGACUGAGAGGUUGAACGGCCACAUUGGGACUGAGAUACGGCCCAGACUCCUACGGGAGGCAGCAGUCGGGAAUAUUGCGCAAUGGAGGAAACUCUGACGCAGUGACGCCGCGUGCAGGAAGAAGGUUUUCGGAUUGUAAACUGCUUUAGACAGGGAAGAUAAUGACAGUACCUGUAGAAUAAGCUCCGGCUAACUACGUGCCAGCAGCCGCGGUAAUACGUAGGGAGCAAGCGUUAUCCGGAUUUAUUGGGUGUAAAGGGUGCGUAGACGGGAAGGCAAGUUAGUUGUGAAAUCCCUCGGCUUAACUGAGGAACUGCAACUAAAACUAUCUUUCUUGAGUGCUGGAGAGGAAAGUGGAAUUCCUAGUGUAGCGGUGAAAUGCGUAGAUAUUAGGAGGAACACCAGUGGCGAAGGCGACUUUCUGGACAGUAACUGACGUUGAGGCACGAAAGUGUGGGGAGCAAACAGGAUUAGAUACCCUGGUAGUCCACACCGUAAACGAUGGAUACUAGGUGUAGGGGAUGAAUAAUCUUCUGUGCCGUCGCAAACGCAGUAAGUAUCCCACCUGGGGAGUACGGCCGCAAGGUUGCAACUCAAAUGAAUUGACGGA